GAAAAAUCGAACAAUAGUACUACUGAGGUAUUGUGUACAGUUCGUGUUUUUGAAUCUAUGCUACGCGAUUCGAUUAAGUCAGCUAAUAAAUUUUCUAAGUUAUUGAUGGAAUUAAUGAAAAGGGCAGGUUGGGAUUUGGAAAAAGCAGCAAAUUCUGUGUAUUCUGAUGUUAAUUAUGCAGGAAAAGAACACCAUAAAUAUGCAUUUCUAUCAUAUAUUUGUUUAGGCAUGUUUAAAGGCUUUGAUCUGGAAGACUUUGGUCUGUGUGAUGAAGAAAUAUUGUCUGAUGGAUCAGUAUCUGAUGAGAACGACCAUUUGAAACAAUUACUUGAGCAUGUUUCAUGUAAUCCAAUGGAGACUUUGAGUAAGAAUCCUAGUUGUGCAUUUUCAAGAUAUUGUGAUAAGA
Molecule: unclassified non-coding RNA, 406 nt
Filed under: Hevea brasiliensis (rubber tree)
Lineage: Eukaryota; Viridiplantae; Streptophyta; Magnoliopsida; Malpighiales; Euphorbiaceae
Source: RNAcentral